Molecule: ribosomal RNA, 253 nt
Filed under: uncultured bacterium
Lineage: Bacteria
Description: partial 16S ribosomal RNA
Rfam family: Bacterial small subunit ribosomal RNA
Source: RNAcentral
GACGAAGGGGGCUAGCGUUGUUCGGAAUUACUGGGCGUAAAGCGCGUGUAGGCGGUUGUCCAAGUUGGAUGUGAAAGCCUUGAGCUUAACUCAAGAAAUGCAUUCAGGACUGGAUAACUAGAGGACCGGAGAGGAUAGUGGAAUUCCCAGUGUAGUGGUGAAAUACGUAGAGAUUGGGAAGAACACCAGUGGCGAAGGCGGCUAUCUGGACGGUUUCUGACGCUAAGACGCGAAAGCGUGGGGAGCAAACAGG